AAAUAGCUUAUAUUUAGAGUAUGACACUGAAGAUGUUAGGGAGAUAAAUUUAUCUUUGAAUAUAGU
RNAcentral lists this transfer RNA (66 nucleotides) under Sarcophaga princeps. Its description in RNAcentral is "tRNA-Phe". The record is from RNAcentral. Lineage: Eukaryota; Metazoa; Arthropoda; Insecta; Diptera; Sarcophagidae.